UGAGUAGAGCGGCGCAAGGGUGAGUAACGCGUGGAUAAUCUGCCCUGAAGAUCGGGAUAACAGUUGGAAACGACUGCUAAUACCGUAUAAUCUGCAUAUUUAACUUUAUGUGGGAAAGGUGGCCUCUAUUUAUAAGCUACCGCUUUUGGAUGAGUCCGCGUCUCAUUAGCUUGUUGGUGGGGUAAUGGCCUACCAAGGCAACGAUGAGUAGCUGGUCUGAGAGGAUGAUCAGCCACACUGGGACUGAAACACGGCCCAGACUCCUACGGGAGGCAGCAGUGGGGAAUAUUGCGCAAUGGGGGAAACCCUGACGCAGCGACGCCGCGUGUAGGAAGAAGGCCUUCGGGUCGUAAACUACUGUCAAGAGGGAAGAAACUGUUGGUUCAUAAUACGGACCUUCACUGACGGUACCUCUAGAGGAAGCACCGGCUAACUCCGUGCCAGCAGCCGCGGUAAUACGGAGGGUGCGAGCGUUAAUCGGAAUCACUGGGCGUAAAGCGUGCGUAGGCGGCGCUUCAAGUCAGGCGUGAAAGCCCUCGGCUCAACCGAGGAAUUGCGUUUGAAACUGGAGUGCUAGAGUCUCGGAGAGGUUGGCGGAAUUCCAGGUGUAGGAGUGAAAUCCGUAGAUAUCUGGAGGAACACCGGUGGCGAAGGCGGCCAACUGGACGAGUACUGACGCUGAGGUACGAAAGCGUGGGUAGCAAACAGGAUUAGAUACCCUGGUAGUCCACGCUGUAAACGAUGGAUAUUAGGUGUCGGGUUUUCAAUUCGGUGCCGCAGUUAACGCGUUAAAUAUCCCGCCUGGGGAGUACGGUCGCAAGGCUGAAACUCAAAGGAAUUGACGGGGGCCCGCACAAGCGGUGGAGUAUGUGGUUUAAUUCGAUGCAACGCGAAGAACCUUACCUAGGCUUGAC
RNAcentral lists this ribosomal RNA (914 nucleotides) under delta proteobacterium FM3-F1. RNAcentral's name for it is "bacterial SSU rRNA". It matches the Rfam family "Bacterial small subunit ribosomal RNA", at positions 87 to 985 of the family's 1533-position model. The record is from RNAcentral. Lineage: Bacteria; Deltaproteobacteria.